This 1737-nucleotide ribosomal RNA is filed under the name Escherichia coli. RNAcentral's name for it is "partial 23S ribosomal RNA". It matches the Rfam family "Bacterial large subunit ribosomal RNA", at positions 1214 to 2925 of the family's 2925-position model. The record is from RNAcentral. Lineage: Bacteria; Pseudomonadati; Pseudomonadota; Gammaproteobacteria; Enterobacterales; Enterobacteriaceae.
CUAUGUGUUGUUGGGUAGGGGAGCGUUCUGUAAGCCUGUGAAGGUGUACUGUGAGGUAUGCUGGAGGUAUCAGAAGUGCGAAUGCUGACAUAAGUAACGAUAAAGCGGGUGAAAAGCCCGCUCGCCGGAAGACCAAGGGUUCCUGUCCAACGUUAAUCGGGGCAGGGUGAGUCGACCCCUAAGGCGAGGCCGAAAGGCGUAGUCGAUGGGAAACAGGUUAAUAUUCCUGUACUUGGUGUUACUGCGAAGGGGGGACGGAGAAGGCUAUGUUGGCCGGGCGACGGUUGUCCCGGUUUAAGCGUGUAGGCUGGUUUUCCAGGCAAAUCCGGAAAAUCAAGGCUGAGGCGUGAUGACGAGGCACUACGGUGCUGAAGCAACAAAUGCCCUGCUUCCAGGAAAAGCCUCUAAGCAUCAGGUAACAUCAAAUCGUACCCCAAACCGACACAGGUGGUCAGGUAGAGAAUACCAAGGCGCUUGAGAGAACUCGGGUGAAGGAACUAGGCAAAAUGGUGCCGUAACUUCGGGAGAAGGCACGCUGAUAUGUAGGUGAAGCGACUUGCUCGUGGAGCUGAAAUCAGUCGAAGAUACCAGCUGGCUGCAACUGUUUAUUAAAAACACAGCACUGUGCAAACACGAAAGUGGACGUAUACGGUGUGACGCCUGCCCGGUGCCGGAAGGUUAAUUGAUGGGGUCAGCGCAAGCGAAGCUCUUGAUCGAAGCCCCGGUAAACGGCGGCCGUAACUAUAACGGUCCUAAGGUAGCGAAAUUCCUUGUCGGGUAAGUUCCGACCUGCACGAAUGGCGUAAUGAUGGCCAGGCUGUCUCCACCCGAGACUCAGUGAAAUUGAACUCGCUGUGAAGAUGCAGUGUACCCGCGGCAAGACGGAAAGACCCCGUGAACCUUUACUAUAGCUUGACACUGAACAUUGAGCCUUGAUGUGUAGGAUAGGUGGGAGGCUUAGAAGUGUGGACGCCAGUCUGCAUGGAGCCGACCUUGAAAUACCACCCUUUAAUGUUUGAUGUUCUAACGUUGACCCGUGAUCCGGGUUGCGGACAGUGUCUGGUGGGUAGUUUGACUGGGGCGGUCUCCUCCUAAAGAGUAACGGAGGAGCACGAAGGUUGGCUAAUCCUGGUCGGACAUCAGGAGGUUAGUGCAAUGGCAUAAGCCAGCUUGACUGCGAGCGUGACGGCGCGAGCAGGUGCGAAAGCAGGUCAUAGUGAUCCGGUGGUUCUGAAUGGAAGGGCCAUCGCUCAACGGAUAAAAGGUACUCCGGGGAUAACAGGCUGAUACCGCCCAAGAGUUCAUAUCGACGGCGGUGUUUGGCACCUCGAUGUCGGCUCAUCACAUCCUGGGGCUGAAGUAGGUCCCAAGGGUAUGGCUGUUCGCCAUUUAAAGUGGUACGCGAGCUGGGUUUAGAACGUCGUGAGACAGUUCGGUCCCUAUCUGCCGUGGGCGCUGGAGAACUGAGGGGGGCUGCUCCUAGUACGAGAGGACCGGAGUGGACGCAUCACUGGUGUUCGGGUUGUCAUGCCAAUGGCACUGCCCGGUAGCUAAAUGCGGAAGAGAUAAGUGCUGAAAGCAUCUAAGCACGAAACUUGCCCCGAGAUGAGUUCUCCCUGACUCCUUGAGAGUCCUGAAGGAACGUUGAAGACGACGACGUUGAUAGGCCGGGUGUGUAAGCGCAGCGAUGCGUUGAGCUAACCGGUACUAAUGAACCGUGAGGCUUAACCUUACAAC